This 460-nucleotide ribosomal RNA is filed under the name uncultured bacterium. Its description in RNAcentral is "SSU rRNA". It matches the Rfam family "Bacterial small subunit ribosomal RNA", at positions 26 to 518 of the family's 1533-position model. The record is from RNAcentral.
AGAAUCAACGCUGGCGGCGUGCCUAACACAUGCAAGUCGCACGAGAAAGUGGAGCAAUCCACGAGUAAAGUGGCGCACGGGUGAGUAACACGUGAAUGAUCUACCUCCGAGUGGGGAAUAACUGAGAGAAAUCUUAGCUAAUACCGCAUAACACUUACGAGUCAAAGCAGCAAUGCGCUUGGAGAGGAGUUCGCGGCCGAUUAGCUAGUUGGCGGGGUAAUGGCCCACCAAGGCGAUGAUCGGUAUCCGGCCUGAGAGGGCGCACGGACACACUGGAACUGAAACACGGUCCAGACUCCUACGGGAGGCAGCAGUGGGGAAUUUUGCGCAAUGGGGGAAACCCUGACGCAGCAACGCCGCGUGGAGGAUGAAGCCCCUUGGGGUGUAAACUCCUUUCGAUCGGGAAGAUGAUGACGGUACCGAUAUAAGAAGCCCCGGCUAACUUCGUGCCAGCAGCCGC